This 509-nucleotide unclassified non-coding RNA is filed under the name uncultured Glomus. RNAcentral's name for it is "SSU rRNA". It matches the Rfam family "Eukaryotic small subunit ribosomal RNA", at positions 569 to 1081 of the family's 1831-position model. The record is from RNAcentral. Lineage: Eukaryota; Fungi; Glomeromycota; Glomeromycetes; Glomerales; Glomeraceae.
AGCAGCCGCGGUAAUUCCAGCUCCAAUAGCGUAUAUUAAAGUUGUUGCAGUUAAAAAGCUCGUAGUUGAAUUUCGGGAUCAAUAUGUUGGUCGUGCCUCGGUACGUACUAGCAUAUUGGUUUCUCCUUUCUGAAGAACCAUGAUGUCAUUUAUUUGGUGUCGUGGGGAAUCAGGACUGUUACUUUGAAAAAAUUAGAGUGUUUAAAGCAGGCUCACGCUUGAAUACAUUAGCAUGGAAUAAUGAAAUAGGACGUUUGAUUCUAUUUUGUUGGUUUCUAGGAUCGACGUAAUGAUUAAUAGGGAUAGUUGGGGGCAUUAGUAUUCAAUUGUCAGAGGUGAAAUUCUUGGAUUUAUUGAAGACUAACUACUGCGAAAGCAUUUGCCAAGGAUGUUUUCAUUAAUCAAGAACGAAAGUUAGGGGAUCGAAGACGAUUAGAUACCGUCGUAGUCUUAACCAUAAACUAUGCCGACUAGGAAUCAGACGAUGUUAAUUUUUUAAUGACUCGCUU